CCGAAUCGGUGUCUGAAAUAACGAACUUCUAAUGCACCUACUACCGGUCUUCAAGUUCUCUGAAUUUUUCUGCGAAGAUUAAAAUAUGCUUUAUGUACCUAAAAAUACCCAAAAAUCCAAAAUCAGUGUUAAAAACCCUUUUCCGGCCAAUUUUGGGAUUCCAGCACGGUGGUACCACCGUGUUCCGGUGAUGGCAUUGCUGUCUGCAGUGGUG
RNAcentral lists this long non-coding RNA (214 nucleotides) under Carica papaya (papaya). RNAcentral describes it as "long non-coding RNA (CPAP_LNC007832)". The record is from RNAcentral. Lineage: Eukaryota; Viridiplantae; Streptophyta; Magnoliopsida; Brassicales; Caricaceae.